UUCACCUGACCACUCAGUUGCAAACCCACCACUUUUUUUUCUUCACCUGAUUGCUCAUUACUACUCUCAUGUGUUUCUUUUUCACCAAUCAACUGCUCAUUUCUUAAAGGCAUCACAAUUUCCAAAGGUACAUGACCAAGAGCCUUAGUUGCUUGUUCAUCUCUGUUUGCUUUCUUAGCUAGCUUUCCAAGGCAAAAGACCUCGGGAUCACUAUUAUUUACAUUUCCAAAGAGUCAAUCCUGACACGAGAGAUGCCGAAGCUGGUUUGAAAGAUGUUUGCAAGUUUAGCAGUGUGAGGUGCUCUAGUGUGUAAUCGGAGAACUUUUUGAGAUGUGAUGAAUGCUUAAGUUGACAAGAAGUUGAGCAAACAUUCUUUAUAGUCAAGCUACUAAGAAGCCUGGUUAUAGUUUCACAUGUCUGACAAAA
This is a long non-coding RNA of Solanum verrucosum, 426 nucleotides long. RefSeq lists it as uncharacterized. NCBI's taxonomy places the organism in Eukaryota, Viridiplantae, Streptophyta, Magnoliopsida, Solanales, Solanaceae. The record is from RefSeq and is a predicted model, not a curated record. The transcript has 3 exons.